Molecule: long non-coding RNA, 1044 nt
Organism: Sander lucioperca (pikeperch)
Lineage: Eukaryota; Metazoa; Chordata; Actinopteri; Perciformes; Percidae
Exons: 2
Source: RefSeq, a predicted model, not a curated record
GUCCAGCAGUUGUCCCCAGUGUGUUCCCACCUUUCAACAGCACCUGACCGCCACACACACCUGCACACCUGCUCCACAUUCCCUCAUCAGCUCCUCAACGUACCUGUCUGUCAGUUGUUUGCUGCAAUCUUAGCUUUUCCUGCUACUGUUCCUGCUACUUUUGAUGAUGACUCCUUACCUUUGCCACUUUGGACUGCCUGCCUGUUGUCAAAACUCUGUUUUCAUGAACCGACAACUCUGGCCGUUUGCCUCAGCUGCAUGUGGCGUGAGUGACUGAAGAUGUUGGAACUCUCCACCACAGGGAUCCACCAGCAGGCCCACAGACCUGCAGUGCAGCGACGGCACCACGCCAACCUGUGCCCGGCUCCCACCACAGCUCCAUCCAAAACGUUUAAUCAAAAGGGACACCCUCUCCACUUGGUCCCGCAAGGAAAUAGAAGCUGUUGAGCUGUUGGCCCAUGCUGUGCACCUUGGCAGCUCGAAAAAGAAUAACCCAGAAUGGUCUACUCUCCGCUACGGCGCCAGGACAUUGGAGAGGAGGCCUGUGGUACAAUCAGCAUUUUCCAACAGGUAAUUGAAGCUUUGGUGACACGGUUGAUGGUGAUGUGUCCAACGGCGGCCUGAUCAGCCUUUCUGUCUUUACCAUCAGCACUGAUGGGUGUUUCUCAUCUCCUCGAAACAGGGUCUGCAUGUCACUUCCAGCAGAUGUUGAUUCAAGCCCCUGAAUGAAUGUCAGGGGGGGAAAUUACUGCAAUUUCACUCGUCAAGCGUGAUUGUAGCGUGUACCCCAAUAUUAAGGUCACCUUUUUCUGGCUGCACUGAUUCAUUUAGACACUGCUGUGCAAUUUCACUGCCAAAUUUACCACAUGUAUCACAUGUACGUAUGUUUUUUUUUAUAUUUUACUUUUGAGGUUGCAUCUUUCCUUGUGUCAAAUUACAGAAAGCUAUUUUACAACUUUCCUUCAAAUUGCGAUGCAAUGAUAGUAAAACCUCAGGUUGAGUGUUUGGCUCCCAUUGCACCGUUCUAUACAAACUGCGCUGAUA